This 482-nucleotide ribosomal RNA is filed under the name uncultured organism. RNAcentral describes it as "bacterial SSU rRNA". It matches the Rfam family "Bacterial small subunit ribosomal RNA", at positions 28 to 507 of the family's 1533-position model. The record is from RNAcentral.
GACGAACGCUGGCGGCGCGCCUAACACAUGCAAGUCGAACGGAGUAAUUUCAGCGGAAGUCUUCGGAUGGAAGCGGAUUUUGCUUAGUGGCGAACGGGUGAGUAACACGUGAGGAACCUGCCUUCAAGAGGGGGACAACAGUUGGAAACGACUGCUAAUACCGCAUAAGACCACAGUGUCGCAUGGCACAGGGGUCAAAGGAGCAAUCCGCUUGAAGAUGGACUCGCGCCCGAUUAGCUAGUUGGUGAGGUAAUGGCUCACCAAGGCAACGAUCGGUAGCCGGACUGAGAGGUUGAACGGCCACAUUGGGACUGAGACACGGCCCAGACUCCUACGGGAGGCAGCAGUGGGGAAUAUUGCACAAUGGAGGAAACUCUGAUGCAGCGACGCCGCGUGAGGGAAGAAGGUCUUCGGAUUGUAAACCUCUGUCUUUGGGGACGAUAAUGACGGUACCCAAGGAGGAAGCCACGGCUAACUACGUG